ACGACACUCCGGAGAAGCCCGGCAGCGUUUGUCGGGUGCCGAAGGUGCAAGCGCUGUAUCAGCGUCAAUCUCUCAGGCAAAAGGACGGAGGAA
RNAcentral lists this non-coding RNA (93 nucleotides) under uncultured Ruminococcus sp. Its description in RNAcentral is "Glycine riboswitch". It matches the Rfam family "Glycine riboswitch aptamer", at positions 9 to 86 of the family's 94-position model. From Rfam's summary of the family: This family represents the bacterial glycine riboswitch. Glycine riboswitches usually consist of two metabolite-binding aptamers domains with similar structures in tandem. Lineage: Bacteria; Bacillati; Bacillota; Clostridia; Eubacteriales; Oscillospiraceae. The record is from RNAcentral.